AAGCCGCCGUAGUAAGUCACCCCGAACAUGAAGAUGGCUGGUCAAAUCCAUCAUUUGAUAGUGGAAAAUUAGGAUAAAGUUCGAGAGGGUUCGAUAAGUCAUCGACUAUAUCUUCUUCAACAUCAUCAACAUCUACGAAACAAAACCAGGACGUCAAGGUCUACACAUAACUGACUUGCACGUUUUCAUUCCUUUCAACUCCUACUUAAUUUCAUUGUUCUUUUACCAUUGCCUCAGCA
RNAcentral lists this long non-coding RNA (239 nucleotides) under Eucalyptus grandis. RNAcentral describes it as "long non-coding RNA (EGRA_LNC001092)". Lineage: Eukaryota; Viridiplantae; Streptophyta; Magnoliopsida; Myrtales; Myrtaceae. The record is from RNAcentral.